Molecule: transfer RNA, 71 nt
Filed under: Sminthurus viridis
Lineage: Eukaryota; Metazoa; Arthropoda; Collembola; Symphypleona; Sminthuridae
Description: tRNA-Ser
Rfam family: tRNA
About the family: Transfer RNA (tRNA) molecules are approximately 80 nucleotides in length. Their secondary structure includes four short double-helical elements and three loops (D, anti-codon, and T loops). Further hydrogen bonds mediate the characteristic L-shaped molecular structure. tRNAs have two regions of fundamental functional importance: the anti-codon, which is responsible for specific mRNA codon recognition, and the 3' end, to which the tRNAs corresponding amino acid is attached (by aminoacyl-tRNA synthetases). tRNAs cope with the degeneracy of the genetic code in two manners: having more than one tRNA (with a specific anti-codon) for a particular amino acid; and 'wobble' base-pairing, i.e. permitting non-standard base-pairing at the 3rd anti-codon position.
Source: RNAcentral
AAUUAGUUGGCUGAACGUAUAAGCAUGUAUCUUGAAAAUACAUUAAAAAGGUUGAAUUCCUUUACUGGUUU